UUUUAAAUCUAAACUAAACCCUACCAUAUUACCAAAUAAUUUUAUACCCCUAUAAAAGAUAUAAUGUUAGAACUAGUAAUAAGAAUUUGAAAUUCUCCAAAAUAUUAGUGUAACACGGAACGAACUAUCGCCGCUAAUUAUUGCAUAUGAGUAUAUUGUAGUACCUUAUCAAGAAAACACUACCAAACUUAGCAUUAAACUUACACAAGCGUAUUACUGGAAAGAUUUAAAGAAAGGGAAGGAACUCGGCAAAUCUUAAGCCUCGCCUGUUUACCAAAAACAUCGCCUCUUGAUAAACCAUAAGAGGUCCCGCCUGCCCUGUGACUUAGUUUAACGGCCGCGGUACCUUAACCGUGCAAAGGUAGCACAAUCAAUCGUCCCUUAAAUAGGGACUAGUAUGAAUGGCUUCACGAGGGCUUAACUGUCUCCCCUCUCCAAUCAAUGAAACUGAUCUUCUCGUGAAGAAGCGAGAAUAUAAAUAUAAGACGAGAAGACCCUAUGGAGCUUUAAACCCAUUACCACCUGCCCGUAUAAUAUCAAAAUAAUUGGCAGCCUGUUCUUAAAUGGUUUUUGGCUGGGGUGGCCCUGGAGUAAAACAUACCCUCCAGACUGAAUGAUUUAAAACCCUAAUCUAAGAAUUACUAUUCAAAGAAUCAACACUUUGACAUAAUUGACCCAAUAAAUUGAUCAACGAACCAAGUUACCCUAGGGAUAACAGCGCAAUCCAUUUCAAGAGCCCCUAUCGACAAAUGGGUUUACGACCUCGAUGUUGGAUCGGGGUAUCCUAGCGGCGCAGCCGCUGCUAAAGGUUC
RNAcentral lists this ribosomal RNA (812 nucleotides) under Kassina senegalensis (Senegal running frog). Its description in RNAcentral is "partial 16S rRNA". It matches the Rfam family "Bacterial large subunit ribosomal RNA", at positions 1454 to 2574 of the family's 2925-position model. The record is from RNAcentral. Lineage: Eukaryota; Metazoa; Chordata; Amphibia; Anura; Hyperoliidae.